CCUACGGGGGGCUGCAGUAAGGAAUAUUGGUCAAUGGGCGCAAGCCUGAACCAGCCAUGCCGCGUGAAGGAUGACGGCCCUAUGGGUUGUAAACUUCUUUUGUACGGGAAAAAACCACCGGUCGUGAAUCGGUGCUGAUGGUACCGUAAGAAUAAGCAUCGGCUAACUCCGUGCCAGCAGCCGCGGUAAUACGGAGGAUGCAAGCGUUAUCGGGAUUCAUUGGGUUUAAAGGGGGAUAAUACGGAAUAGUUGAAAGCCUACAGCUUAACUGUAGAACUGCCAUUGAUACUGUUAUUCUUGAGUGUUGUUGAGGUAGGCGGAAUGUGUCAUGUAGCGGUGAAAUGCUUAGAUAUGACACAGAACACCGAUCGCGAAGGCAGCUUACCAAGCAACAACUGACGCUCAUGCACGAAAGCGUGGGGAUCAAACAGGAUUAGAUACCGAGUAGUC
This 450-nucleotide ribosomal RNA is filed under the name uncultured bacterium. RNAcentral describes it as "partial 16S ribosomal RNA". It matches the Rfam family "Bacterial small subunit ribosomal RNA", at positions 338 to 795 of the family's 1533-position model. The record is from RNAcentral.